Molecule: non-coding RNA, 215 nt
Organism: Pelobates cultripes (western spadefoot toad)
Lineage: Eukaryota; Metazoa; Chordata; Amphibia; Anura; Pelobatidae
Source: the annotation of a GenBank genome assembly
CUCUAAGUUCCCAAGAGAAGGGUUGGCUUUAGAAGAACUCUGAGUAUAGAUGAUCAUUUUAUAGAAAGCUCUAAAAUCAUAAAGAGAAUGAGACACGAGAGCAGUGACAGCUGGUAAAGUAUUACGUUUGUGGGGCUCCAGAUUCUACUAUGGAAUUUUACUUGACUCCUCUUUUUGGAACACCCAUCUCUUAAUCUACUGGACUCAUAGGAAAU